UUUUUUUUUUUUUUUUUUUUAAGAUUUUAUUCAUCCAUUCGUGAGAUACACACACACAGAGAGAGAGAGAGAGAGAGAGAGGCAGAGACACAGGCAGAGGGAGAAGCAGGUUCCCUGCAGGGAGCCCGACGUGGUACUGGAUCCCAGAUCUCCAGGAUCAGGCCCUGGGCUGAAGGCGGCGCUAAACCGCUGAGCCACUGGGGGUGCCCACAGGCUUCCUUUAAACACAUUUGUUACUAAAGAAUGUACAUCUCACUGAAGUCCCUAAAAGAAGCUAUUUUUAGUAUACCUUAUUCUGCCUACCUUAAGCAAGUUGUCACCUAUAAGAAUUUGUAUUUCUUUCAAAAUAUGAUGCAGAGGGGCAACUGGGUGGCUCAGUCAGUUAAGCGCCUGCCUUCAGCUCAGGUCAUGAUCCCAGGGUUCUGGGAUCGAGUCCUGCAUUGGGCUGCUCAGUGGAGUCUGCUUCUCCCUCUCUCUCUGCCUCUCCCCCGGCUUAUGCUCUCACUCGCUCACUUUCUCAAAAAAUGAAAAAAAAAAAAAAAAAAAGCGUAGCUAUAACAUGAAUAUCCAAAAUGUUUCUGCAAAGAAUCUUAUAUUUAUUUAUGAACAAAGAAAACAGUUACAUUUUAUGAUGCUGAAGUAGUAAAGUGAUUUAAAAUGAAUAUAUGCUAAAAAUCAUCUCCUUUUCCCUCAACAUCAUCUUCUCAUUUAUUUUUCCUUUGUAAACAUAAUGUUUUCCCUUGUUCAGGUAAUUUUUACUUUCUACUUCCAUGUCUACUUGCUAUGUUAACUUUGAUAUGGUGCUGUGUUCCAGGGUCCUUUUUCAAAGUAUAUUCCAUGGAGCAACAAUCAUAGAACUAUCAGGGUGCCACCUAGGACACAGAUUCAUGGGUUCCACUGGAACCCAAGAACCUGCAUUUUCCCAGGCUCCUCACAUGCACCUCUUGCACACUAUAGUGUGAGUCUAAAGUAUUUCAGUCUUGGACAGAAAACUGUUAAUAAGAACUUACAUAAAAGCCAUCAUACAAUAUAGUUCUGUUUUUAGAACUGAGAUUAUGGCAUUUAUUUUACGUUUAGUCUUCAUAGAUGUUCAACAGGAAUUAGUUUAUCUUUGCUAAGGGUAGCUAGAGUUUAAAAUCUCCUCUUAAAGGUAACUGUUGAUUCCAUAUGAAAAACAACUAGUAAGAACAUGCCUUAAUUCAUCAAAUAAAUGUAGAUAUCCACUGUGUCCUUACUUUGUGGUUAUUCAGCUGAGCCACAUGGUCCUGUGAGAGAGAAACAUGACCUGGGAGUAAGAACAGUGGGUUUGAUCUGAAAUCCAGUUCCAAUGUUUAUUAAGCGAAUGGCUCCCUGAGUUCUUCUCCUUAACUGCCCAACAUUGUUGUAAAGAACAAAUGCAGGAUGGUAAAUUAAACCUUUUUAAGUGACAAAGAGCUAUACAGAAGUAGGAAAUUUGUGACAUGUUGCCUUGAUGCUUAAAAAUUAUAUGAUGGAAAAAAUAUAUAUGAUGAGUUUACAGAUUUCUAUUUUCUGAAUAUAAGUUCCACGAAGGCAGGAAUGUCAUGCCUUGUUCACUUUGUACCCCAGAGCCUCAGAGGGUGGCACACUGUCCACACAGAAUUGUUUGUGCGGCUCUGACUUUAUUGAUUACUGACAGUAGAUCGAGAAAAAGACAUGUUUUUAAAAAGAAAUCUAUCAGGUUAAUCAGGUGAUGUUUCAAUUCUAUUUGAUUACUGUCAGGGCACUUCAUGGUUAGAAGACACAAAAAGUUUUUUUUUUUUUUUUAAACUUCUAUUAAGUACCCUUUCUUACUGCGCUACUUGCUUUUAGAAUGUUUUAAGGAGAACAAUUUAACUUUCCAUUAUCUUCCCAAGUCCCAACACUUCACAUUGUCAACCAUUAGAGCUAUUUUCAGUGAAACAUAAAAGUGGUAACAUUUCUAUUACGUUUUAGAAUUUAUGAAGCAUAUUUUUGUAUUCUUUUAUCCUCAAAACUACUUUGUGAGGGAAGUUAUUCCUUUUAUCCAGGAAAUAAAACCAAAGUCAGGGAGUCCUCUCUGUCGUUCUUAGUUUCAUAUCCAAUAGUUUAGCUAGAAAUUAUUUCACAGGUUCCUUAUGUUUGACAAGAAUCAGACAAUCUAAGUGACAGUUUUACAGAAUACCAUACUGUUUAUGAAGAUUUACCACAUUACAUGCACACACACAACUUCAUAAUUACUACAGAUAUCACACACUUAAAAAGAGGAGACUUUAGAGUUUAAGAUCAGAAUAAAGUGUUUCCUUCCAGAAAAUAUGAAAGUAUAUUACCUCAUCCAGGACCAGAGCAAUGAUGAUACACGUUUAUACAUGAAGAUGACACCUUGACGUCUUUUUCUGCGGUGGUGAGAUGAAGCAUGUGCAUUGUUCCAGCAACAUUCUGUCCCCUGGUUCCAUCCGAAAUGCCUGCAGCUAGCAAUAGGCUUGGUGGGGCAGAGAUACAGACUCACCGAAGGCCUAGCCUACAGCCUGGCUUCAGUGAAGACCCCAUCCUCCUAACCAAAGGAUCUGAUUGCCCUUCUCAAACAGUAAUUUAUGAAAAUGUUUACCAAAAGUUUAAAACUGCUUAUUUUCAAAGUUACUAAGUUCUUUCAAGAUGGUAGUUGAGUCCCUAAGUCUUAUUCCUUUUAUAAAUAUAGUAUCACUAUCUUUGAUUAAAAUCAUUUUGGAGAACUUCUGACGAUUAGCCUCAUAAAAGGUUAUAGUUAGUUACUAUAGUGGAGUAACUACAUAUAGUGGAGUCACUACAUGAUAAAAUACAAAGAAUUUGAGGCACCUGCAUGGAUCCCAACCUGAAUUUAGAAUCUACCUGUUCUAAAUGCACUUUUCAAAUCAAGAGUCAGUGUUCUGAGAUGCCUUAUUGGCUUUAACCCCACACAAUUCAUUUGUGACUAUAUCCCAGCACGCUCUUUGUCUUGGCAACUUGUGAUUUCAAAAUCCAACCGAAGAUGACUUGUGAAGGAAGCAUUUCUAUACAUAGUCUGGAAUAUUUGUUCUAAAAAGGCAGAGACUUCUGGUUUCUAGAGAAUCAGGUGAGCCCUCCUGAGGGAAUAAGUUCAUUCUGACCUGAGGUCAUACAGGUAACCAAGAGAAUAUUAUUCCAGUGACCUAUAUCUUAGAAUGUUUAGAUUUAAGAAACUUUAGGUUUUCAAAUUAAGAAUUUUUGAGAGAGCAAGCAAGCGAGCAAACAGGGAGGGGGAGAGAGAAAAUCUCAGGGCUGAAAGCCCAGCGCAGAGCCUGGCAUGGGGCUGGAUCUCAUUACCCAGAGAUCAUGACCUGAGCCAAAAUCAAGAGUUGGUCGCUUAACCAACUGAGCCACCUGGGUGCUCCUAGAAUCUUACAUUUUUGAUUCUUUAGAUGUUACCAUGAACAGGAAAAUCCUACAUAUCUUAAGCUCAAGACUGCCAAAAUCAAAAACAGGCAUGGGGCCAGGGCUAGGAAGAAAGGAUACAGAUAUAUUUUAUUUCCUCGUUUUUGUACUCUUCUGUUUUCUUGUCAGAGGCAGGAGCAGGGACAAAGUUUGCAUGAAAAGAAACUAGAUUGAGGAGAAAAGGGCAGGCUGGGUUUAGAACACUGAGCUAAUGCUUCAUUCCUUCCUCCAGCACUAGCAAGCUCUGCCUGCCAAACUCGGCGGAAGUGCAGACACACUCUUCAGUGCCCACUUCCCCCUUCUUGAUUGAUUGCUAGCCACUUUUGCAAGCUGGCCCAGGAAUUUAAAGUCCUUCAACCCAAGACCUGUUCCUUUAUACUACAACUCCUAAACUUUCCAGUUC
Molecule: long non-coding RNA, 3808 nt
Filed under: Canis lupus familiaris (dog)
Lineage: Eukaryota; Metazoa; Chordata; Mammalia; Carnivora; Canidae
Description: lncRNA (ENSCAFG00000054376.1)
Source: RNAcentral